GACGAACGCUGGCGGCGUGCUUAACACAUGCAAGUCGAGCGGUAAGGCCCUUUCGGGGGUACACGAGCGGCGAACGGGUGAGUAACACGUGGGUGACCUGCCCUUAGCUCUGGGAUAAGCCUGGGAAACUGGGUCUAAUACCGGAUAUGACCUCAUGACGCAUGUUGUGGGGUGGAAAGCCUUGUGCGGCUAGGGAUGGGCCCGCGGCCUAUCAGCUUGUUGGUGGGGUGAUGGCCACCAAGGCGACGACGGGUAGCCGGCCUGAGAGGGCGACCGGCCACACUGGGACUGAGACACGGCCCAGACUCCUACGGGAGGCAGCAGUGGGGAAUCUUGCGCAAUGGGCGAAAGCCUGCCGCAGCGACGCCGCGUGAGGGAUGACGGCCU
Molecule: ribosomal RNA, 387 nt
Filed under: uncultured bacterium
Lineage: Bacteria
Description: bacterial SSU rRNA
Rfam family: Bacterial small subunit ribosomal RNA
Source: RNAcentral